This 148-nucleotide small RNA is filed under the name Tatumella ptyseos ATCC 33301. The record is from RNAcentral. Lineage: Bacteria; Pseudomonadati; Pseudomonadota; Gammaproteobacteria; Enterobacterales; Erwiniaceae.
GCGAAAAAAAAGACCGGACACAACUCCAGUGACCGGUCCAGGGAAAUGGCUCAGAGAGCCGUGCGCUAAAAAUGAUGAGCGAUAACCGAUGGCAGUUGCAUAGGUUAGUAUCAGUAAUACUAGUUCAGAUCCUGAUAAUUUCCAGCGC